GAGACACACGGCGGGUGCUAACGUCCGUCGUGAAGAGGGAAACAACCCAGACCGCCAGCUAAGGUCCCAAAGUCAUGGUUAAGUGGGAAACGAUGUGGGAAGGCCCAGACAGCCAGGAUGUUGGCUUAGAAGCAGCCAUCAUUUAAAGAAAGCGUAAUAGCUCACUGGUCGAGUCGGCCUGCGCGGAAGAUGUAACGGGGCUAAACCAUGCACCGAAGCUGCGGCAGCGAACGUAUCACUUAAAGCGAUUCAGCGGGUUACGAUUGACGGAGCGAAGCGACGUCAAAGCGUAUACAAAGUCGAGUCGGUUUAAGGAUACGUUCGUUGGGUAGGGGAGCGUUCUGUAAGCCCGUGAAGGUGGCCUGUGAGGGUUGCUGGAGGUAUCAGAAGUGCGAAUGCUGACAUAAGUAACGAUAAAGCGGGUGAAAAGCCCGCUCGCCGGAAGACCAAGGGUUCCUGUCCAACGUUAAUCGGGGCAGGGUGAGUCGACCCCUAAGGCGAGGCCGAAAGGCGUAGUCGAUGGGAAACGGGUUAAUAUUCCCGUACUUGGUGUUACUGCGAAGGGGGGACGGAGAAGGCUAUGUUGGCCGGGCGACGGUUGUCCCGGUUUAAGCGUGUAGGUGUGUGUUCCAGGUAAAUCCGGUUCACUUUAACACUGAGGCGUGAUGACGAGGCACUACGGUGCUGAAGCAACAAAUGCCCUGCUUCCAGGAAAAGCCUCUAAGCAUCAGGUAACAUCAAAUCGUACCCCAAACCGACACAGGUGGUCAGGUAGAGAAUACCAAGGCGCUUGAGAGAACUCGGGUGAAGGAACUAGGCAAAAUGGUGCCGUAACUUCGGGAGAAGGCACGCUGACACGUAGGUGAAGUGAUUUACUCACGGAGCUGAAGUCAGUCGAAGAUACCAGCUGGCUGCAACUGUUUAUUAAAAACACAGCACUGUGCAAACACGAAAGUGGACGUAUACGGUGUGACGCCUGCCCGGUGCCGGAAGGUUAAUUGAUGGGGUCAGCGCAAGCGAAGCUCCUGAUCGAAGCCCCGGUAAACGGCGGCCGUAACUAUAACGGUCCUAAGGUAGCGAAAUUCCUUGUCGGGUAAGUUCCGACCUGCACGAAUGGCGUAAUGAUGGCC
Molecule: ribosomal RNA, 1130 nt
Filed under: Salmonella enterica subsp. enterica serovar Typhimurium
Lineage: Bacteria; Pseudomonadati; Pseudomonadota; Gammaproteobacteria; Enterobacterales; Enterobacteriaceae
Description: bacterial LSU rRNA
Rfam family: Bacterial large subunit ribosomal RNA
Source: RNAcentral